AGUCCUGGAAGUACAAGUGAAAAAAGAAAUCCUAUUUUAGCAUGAACAUGCACCUCCAAUUUUUUAGCUCUUACUAGCAGUUCCUGUAUACACAAACAUGUGAGAAGUCUCCAAAGAGAAGUUUCAGUUUUGCAAGCAAAAAAACAAAAACAAAAAAAACUAAUCACAUCGAAGAAAAGUAGGCACUGCACUUUCUAGAUGACAGUAUUAAUAUAUAAUUAUUUUAGAAGAAACUAUGAAUCUGUUUAAAUCCCCAAAGUUAAAUAACCUAAUCAGAUCACUUAGAGAAAUAGGUGCUUUUCGCUGCCCUGCCCUAAGAUCAUAUUGCUAUUUAACCUGCUUUUAAACAAACAAGAAUUUUUAAACAUUUUCUAUCCUUUAAGCAAAUGUUCUUUGCUUGGCUAAAUGACAAUGUUCAAGAAAUGCCUACCACAGAAGCAUAAAAAACCCCUGGCAACAUUCCAGAAGAAAUUCACCCCGCAUAAUGUGUUCCAGCUAAUGCUCAAUAGCUUUCGGGUGAACCUGCUGGCUCUGUGUGCCCUUGAACAGAAUCUGAAAAGAACAAAAGAAAAACUGAUAGACAUUUUCCCUUUUGUGAGUCUGGUGGAACUUUCCAAACUUCGAAAAAUGUACGGCUACCAUGAACCCGGCCCUGGGCUCUGAUGUAAACUUUGUUUUACUACCUUUGCUUCCCUGAAAUUCAACUAUAAUUAUAUUGUUUGUCUUUUCAUCCAAUAAAAUGUGCAUUAGCAUUUGGUCCUCUUUAGAGUGUAGUAUUUGUUUAGAUGAAUGUAUUCUUUCAAAUGAUUAGCAGUGCUGCCACAAUGAGAACGCUUUAGAUUAAACUCUUGAUAUGGUAUUAAAAGGAGGGAGAUCAGCUCAAAAUGCUUCCAAAGUGUGCUCAUAACUGGCUGAGGCUAUCGACUUUUCUAGAUAUGUAUGAGAAUUUCACCAACCGCAAAAGACUUUAAGAUGAAAUCCCUGGCCCUUUUAUAAAUGAAAAAAACAACACGAGAGUUCCUAUUGUGGCUCAGCAGGUUAAGAACCCAACUAGAGUCCAUGAGGAUGCAGGUUCAAUCUCUGGCCUCGUUCAGUGAGUUAGGAUCCCGCGUUGCCUUGAGCUGUGGUGUAGGCUGCAGAUGCAGCUCAGAUCUGGCGUUGCUGUGGUUGUGCUGUAGGCUGGCAGAUGCAGGUCCGAUUCGACUCCUAGCCUGGGAACUUCCAUAUGCCAUGGGUACAGCCCUAAAAAGUCCAAAAAACUGAAAAUAAAAAAUUAAAUCAUUGGCCAUUUUACAUCUCUGAAGCUGUAGUGAUACAUUUGGCGCCAAUUCUCUCUGGACAUGGGAGGCUGCAGCAUUGGGUGGGAGGGCUGAUACAGAGUGCAUUUGACCUUAAAUGCCCUGGAUGGAGGAAGAGGAGGAUGCUUGGAAAGAUAACAUUGUCUCCAUUUGAUGUUCUAGGACAUGUGCAUGGAAUUGAAACAACCCAUUUUGCAGGCAAGAAGCUAUAGAUGCAAAUGCCAGGCCUGGGGAAAACUGGACCCUGGGGAAGGAUGGAAGGCACUGGGGCUUGCCCUCACAGGCCCUCCCACUAUGGGGCCACCAGCCUGCUCCACGCAGAGCCUUCUCCGGGUUCCCUGGGGGACCUCUUGGAGGAGUGCAGCAGGAAGACUAUCGAUUGGCUCGGGACAUAAAAUAGACUAUUGACGGUAUCUCAGAGAUACCCCCAACAGGAUGGAAAAGAAAGGACUCACCCACAACUUUAAUGGCCAAAUAUAAAACACUGAAAUGUGCUCUGCUGGUUGUAACAUUCUCUUGGCAUUUCUUCAUUUAUUACUACGCUGGAAGCCUCAAAAAAAUGGAAGAGACCCAGCUCUGGGGACCUCUGAGAGGCCCUGGCUACCAGGAAGUCACGUGGUGUAUUAGGAGAAGGCAAGGCAUUUACAAAACCCUCAGCUGCUUUCUGCAGGAGAAAGCUGGGCCUCUAGACUCCCAGUCACCAGAGUGCAUUGCCAAACGCAAAGCCAGCACAAAACAGAUGAAACUACAGAGACCUUUGACUGGCAUCUUUAUCCUGAUGCCUCAAAAAGGAGCCAUGAUGAUGAUGAUUCAAGGUGCUUCCUUCCAGAUCCUUAAAGAGACACACACACUCAGAAUAAAUGAUGUUAUUUUCCGUGUUUUUCUUACUUAUGUGGUAUAAGAUUAUACACAUCCUAAAAAUUGCUUUAUUCAUUCCACAGUAUUUUGAGACUUAUCCAUGUGGCUUCAUAUAGAUUUAUUUCAAUACUCCUGGCUGCUGAUGGUACUCCAUCAUUUGAAACCACUACUUUUAUUUACCCAUAUCCCUCCUGACGUUCAGUAUUUGUCUGUGGCUGAUCCGAUGCAUUCUUCCAGCCCACUUAAGCAUUCCCUUCUUAGAAGUCUGACGGCACUUUAUUCUCCUUAGUUGUUCCACAUAUGUGUGGUCUGUUUCCCGGACGAGAAAGUUAAACUUCUAAGAGCAACUUCUAUGUCCGGCAUCUAAUCGAAUCAUUGCAUCUAUGUAAUACUCUGGUGAAUGACGAACUUUGGACUGUUGGCUCUCUCGGAGAGCUGAAGAGCAGCUCUGGACUCCCAGAGGUUCAACAAAUUCUAUCUAGUUAUUUAUUUCCUCUUGGUUUCUUAAAAGAGAAGUGCUGUAUUUUCAAAACAGGUUCAACUAAAAUUCACUUCCUUUCUUCAUCUAGAUUCGUGGCGGUGAGCAUCUCCUUAAAAUGUUCCAAAUCCGAACACCGGUGAUACCAUAAACGUUUCACCUUUAAAAGAUGAGACAGAGACAGACAGACAGACAGACGGACAGCAAUACAGAAAGAGAGAGCGAGAGAAAGAGAAGGAGGAGGGGGAAGAGAAAAAGGAGGAAGACUGAAAGGAUCCCCACCCCUCCGAAGGGCGGGGCCUGUGGCCCCUGCUGGCCUGGAGGCAAAGUCGGGCACAAAGGGCUGAUUCUCUUUGCAAAUGAAAUCUGGAUAACACACCCUCUCCCUUCUUUUCCUUGAAAAGUCUUCCCCUGCCACUUUUACUGUCAACUUUUAGGUUGCUCUUGUCAGAAUCAGUUUUCAUUUCUUUCCCUGGAAACUUUAUUCUCUGCCUCUUUCGGCUUCCUAAAGAAUUGGUUUGUUAAAGUUUUUAAUUGUUCGCGCUUUUUCUAGGGACAAUGAAGAAAGCGCAGAGUCUCCACAUCCACUCACCAGAAAUCCUCCAGAUCAUUCAACCCGACUCACAAUCAUGGCCGAAAGAGCUGCUUGGAAACUGUGAAAACCUUGCCAAAGGGACUCGCCCACUGCAUUGUUUGUUGGAGGAAAGGAGAAGGUGGGGACAUAGAAAAGCUGUGGAGGCACCCAGGUAUUCGGGGACCUCUCUGUAUUUGCGUUAGACCAUUUUUUCAUCUUGUGAAGUCAUUUUAACUCUUUCCUAGUCCAAGACACCAGCUUUUGGCUUUUUCGAGUCUGAUCCCUUUGCUCUGGCCAGGGUCCCCUUCCCCCGUGCCCCCCAAAUGCACCUACGCUUAUAUACAUGCCAUUCUGCAAAGAAUUUCCAGGAAGCCACAAAUCUCCUGAGACUAGAGAAGCCCAGGUAGAGAAGAUCUAAAAUAAGGUGAAAUUGCCAAGAAUCCAGAUGUUGGCAGAAACAGUAACAGUGACAGGCACUACAUGCACUGAUAGGAGCUACAAAAUAAAACCAAUCUCUGUAUGUGGGUGUUGGAGCCUAUUUGGGUUUGAUCCUGAGUUGGUCUUUUCAGACACACCUAUAUUUCCAUCACAGUUAGCAGGAUGAUCCAUACAUGCUCAGUGUGCCACCAUCUUUGAAUGCAAAGAAUGACUCUGGGUCGGGAAGAUGACAUGCUGGACAGGCAAAAGGCCGCACUGAUCAUGAGGAGAUGUGAUCAAAAUAUCAUCAAAAAUAUCUACAUCUGCAGCAAGUGCUAGAAAUAAGUGAAUAAGCGAUCUUGCCUUUCAGCACCCCUCACCUCAACUUCUCACCACAUCCUUGGCAUCAUUUCUUUCGGUAGCUUCUCUAUCCUACUUCAACGUCAAAGACUUCUUCAUGUGUCAUUGUCCUUAGAUCUAAUCUCUUCCAAACUCUUAGCUAUUCCCCAAACCAUACAGAUUACUGUCAUCAGAGUAACAUUUCCCAUUUACAGAGUGACUCCUAUGUGUCAACUAUGCAUGUAGCACCAAAAAUAUACUAUGCAUGUGUAUGAAAUCCAUGCAAUAACUCUGCUAGGCAGAUAGCAGUAUUUCCAUUUAAAGAGGAAAAACUUGAGGUUCAAAGAGCAGUGUCUUACUAAUGUUUCCAGAGCAAGGACCUGGCAGAACUGGGUUUAUCCUUAAUUCCAUGUGACUGCAAAUUCUCUCAGUCUUGUUGGCUCAUGCCACCAUCAUGUUUUUUCCAGAAAAUUCUUAAGAUUACGGAAUUCUCAGUUUAGAUGUUCUCAGCCUUCUUUGGCUCAUAGAAUAUUUGAGGAGAAAGGGAUCAGAGGCAAUCUUGUCUGACACACACACUUAACAAGUAAGGAAACUGACACUCACCUAGGAUGGGUUACUGGUCCAACCACGACCUUCCCUUUUCUAGUUCUCGAGGAGGCAGGAACCACAUCCUUUGGGAAGUUAUUUCCUGCUUCUCCUAGCAUAGCUCUAAGUGCACCAAACGUCUGUAGGUGGACAUUUGAUGACCAUUCCAAAAGGAGCAGAAACUCAAGUCCAGAACACCCGAACGACCGGCGCAAAGGAGGGCCAGACUCAGGUGGCAUCUACCUCAAAGGGACUUAACAAUCCAAGGUGUGCCCCUUCCUACCUCACCACCCCCCAGAAGAAGCCAAGAUAUUCCCUGGUCUUUGAAGCUAGUGUAGCAGUGAAAACAAGACAUGUAAAAUCACAGCGAAGGCAGCCCCCAAACCAGCACCUGCAUCCUAAAACCACUUCUACAGACAGCAGUGACAUGCAGCCCAAUUCAGCAGAUAAUGGCAAAGCCCUUCUCUUUCAGUCUGUGGUAGCUGGAAUGAGGAGGGAGAGGACAAGUCAGAGCUUGAAAGCUUGCUUUUAGGUUUGUUAUCAAGAACAACAAGUGACUGCCAUACUUCGAAUGUAUUUAAAAGUCCUGAAUCACAUAACUAGUCUGCCUUGCAUGGUCCUUGAAAAUGCAAAAAUAGAAAUGAAAGAAAUUAUCUAAGAGCAGCAAAGCAGGGAAACAGAGAUUAGCAUGAGAUUAGGAGUGCGGGCUGCGAUUCAUUAUUACCGAUGCUUAUAAACACUUGCUGUCUGACAGUAGUUGACAAGCCCUGCUAAGGACAGAGUAAUAAACAUGGU
RNAcentral lists this long non-coding RNA (5344 nucleotides) under Sus scrofa (pig). Its description in RNAcentral is "lncRNA (ENSSSCG00055011234.1)". Lineage: Eukaryota; Metazoa; Chordata; Mammalia; Artiodactyla; Suidae. The record is from RNAcentral.